This 347-nucleotide ribosomal RNA is filed under the name uncultured eukaryote. Its description in RNAcentral is "SSU rRNA". It matches the Rfam family "Eukaryotic small subunit ribosomal RNA", at positions 594 to 945 of the family's 1831-position model. The record is from RNAcentral.
AUAGCGUAUAUUAAAGUUGUUGCAGUUAAAAAGCUCGUAGUUGAACUUCAGACCUGGCUGGGCGGUCCGCCUAACGGCGUGUACUGUCUGGCUGGGCCUUACCUCUUGGUGAGCCGGCGUGCCCUUUAUUGGUGUGCGUCGGGGAACCAGGACUUUUACCUUGAGAAAAUUAGAGUGUUCAAAGCAGGCCUGUGCCCGAAUACAUUAGCAUGGAAUAAUAAAAUAGGACGUGCGGUUCUAUUUUGUUGGUUUCUAGAGUCGCCGUAAUGAUUAAUAGGGAUAGUUGGGGGCAUUAGUAUUCAAUUGUCAGAGGUGAAAUUCUUGGAUUUAUUGAAGACUAACUACUG